RNAcentral lists this small RNA (18 nucleotides) under Arabidopsis thaliana (thale cress). Its description in RNAcentral is "ATSL109810". Lineage: Eukaryota; Viridiplantae; Streptophyta; Magnoliopsida; Brassicales; Brassicaceae. The record is from RNAcentral.
AGAAGAAGAACGAAGAAA